Melitaea cinxia (Glanville fritillary) is the source of this 1452-nucleotide long non-coding RNA. RefSeq lists it as uncharacterized. The transcript is spliced from 3 exons. The record is from RefSeq and is a predicted model, not a curated record. NCBI's taxonomy places the organism in Eukaryota, Metazoa, Arthropoda, Insecta, Lepidoptera, Nymphalidae.
CAGGAGUUGCAGUGUCGAACGCGUGCCUCUAGUAACACAGCACAAACAGUACGGCACACACGUCGUACCCGAAAACUGAAAACACAGUUUCACUGACAGUUCCGACAUUACCUGACAUUUACCGCCGUCCUCCGAACUACGGCGGCUUAUCGCGUUUUGUAAACGGGUCGUCACAUUUCACGAUAGAUAUAACUAUUUAUAAAUAGAUGAAGUACGGCGGCAAGUUCAGUAGAUGAAACUCUCGUGUCCUGCAAGCUGCGUCAAACUUCACGUGGGGAAUAUGGAAAUCGACAGUGCCAAAAACAAUAAUUGAAUUAACUCCGAGUAAAAUAUGACCAUUUUCCGACAUGUGCGUUCCGUGUGACGAAGUGCAUUGAUAUGUUAAUUCUCCCGGGACAACCGAAAAGUUAACACCAUGUAAAUCUCUGGAUGUAUUCAAUGUUUACCUCUUCAGUGUUGUGAAUAACGGUUAGGUAAAUGUAGUUUAAAAUUAUCGAGUGAGAGCUAUGUAGGGAGAGAUAUUUAUUGUUAGCUGGUCGAUCUUAGACUGAUGUAGAGCUAUCGUGGUUGUGAUAAUUAAAGUGGAGUGCGUUUCCUUCCGUGGCCAAUGGACUUAUCAAUAAUACUUGGUUGUAAUUCUCAGUAAGUUGUGAGUUAACUAGAAAUUAUAAUAUUAUAUUUAUACAAAUACAAUUACGGAUAAAUGUGAACUGUAGAAGAUUUCACUUUUCACUGUCUUUUAAAUUUAAAAAGAUAACAGGUUGUGUAUGUAAUGCUAAGAACUUACCAUCUAUAAUUUCCCUUGGGUUGUGAAUACAAUAAACAGACUGAAUGCUGAAACUUAGAGCAUUACCAUUCACAGGGUAAAUUGCCCUUUGGAACUGCUUGCCGUUAGAGUUAUGGUGUAUUUUCUGGGACACAGUGAUACGUGCUCAGGUGACGAGAAACUUGACUGAAUCGAGGCCAAGAAUGAUCUGGUAGCCGAAGCUGUGCGGCGACUUCCAUGUUGUGAUGACGGCUGUUAAUUCGGUAUGUAAUCGUUUCGUCAUAAGCUGAGGUAAACAUUAUAAAACCCUUAUUCUUAUUAAAGUUUUAAAUAUUACGUUAAAACUAAUUUAUAAUAUAAUCUCACCAAAUAAACUCCUAGCGUCUGCGGCGAAAAUAUCACAAAGUAUAUCAAAUGAAAUUAAUUUAGAAAUGUUACGUCGGAAACUAGGUGGCUGCUCGCAUCGGAGCGUGCGAAACUUCGACACUAAACAAAAGGUGAAAUUCUGAAAGAAAAUAAAGGAAGCAAGGUAAAUAAAAGAGAGCAGAUGUCAGAAACACGGGAGCCGAACAAGUUUGCGGUGCCUGCAGUCACGAGCUUUCACCAUUUUUACGUAUAAUCUCAUUUAAAACUUAAAUAUAUUAAGUCGACAUUUAAAAAUGUAAAUUACAGUUUUUUUAAGCCUU